AAAAAUUUAAUUAUUAUACACGGACAGUGUAAAAUAAUUUACACCUAUUAAUGUGUUUUUCACCGUAAUAAAUAUAAAAUAAAAUUAAUGGUUUAGAAAUAAAAUAUAUAUUACUCAUCCUUUUUGUACAAUCUAACAUUCAUUUCCUUCUAAAGAAGAUACCCUGUCAACCUGAUUCACACUUGGUUUUGCAGAGAGUAUGAGUAAUAUCACUGAGAAAUUGGGAAUCAAGGUUGAGACAAACCCUUCUGAGGAAAAACUCACUCAACUUGGUGUUAAGCAAUGGUCCAAGUAAUUAAAUUCUCUCUUCCCUUUUUCAUCUUCCAUCGCAACAUUUUCUACAUUUUUUUUCCAUUAUUUUAGGGCAUGUAUUUUGUAUUUUCACAACAAUUGUUAUUUUUUUCCAUAAAAAUGAGCUAUAAUAUACUUAGAUUGAUUAUUAUGCCCUAUACUUACUGUAUUAUGUUUUUGGUUAUUUUUCUGAAAUUGGAUUGUAAACCUAGCAAGAUACUAGCUUUAUGAACAGAAAUGUUAGUAUCCAUUUUUCUUUUAAUAAUAGCAUCUUUGGUGUUUAUUGCUUGUAAGUUUGUGAUAUUAUAUAUUUUUAAAUUAAUUGAAAAUUCAAGAUGUACUUUUGUGACUUUUAUUUCAUUAUGUUUUGCACAAAACUCCUAUUUAAUUUUAAUUAUUUUGAAAAUCACACAAAUAAGUGGUUAUCAUGUAUUGUCGAUAUAAAUUUUUUUACACAAAUAAUAGUAAAUUAAAUAGAAAUCAAACUCAAUAAAAAAGUUAUUUUCUAUUAAAAAAAGGGUUGUAGUAUUAAAUUAAAUCAAUUAAAAAAUAAGGUCGACAUUAUUUCUCUAUGUGACUUAAGAAAAUAAUAUAUCAACUUAUGUAAAUUGUGAAUAUGCUUGAAAUGUUAGGAGUAAUGUGAGAUGAAGACUUAUAUAAACAAAAAUUAUAAUUAUCAAUUAAUUAUAGUUAUUAGAUUAUCAAUAACAUUUAAUUUUAAUUAUUUUGAAAAUCACACAAAUAAGUGGUUAUCAUGUAUUGUCGAUAUAAAUUUUUUUACACAAAUAAUAGUAAAUUAAAUAGAAAUCAAACUCAAUAAAAAAGUUAUUUUCUAUUAAAAAAAGGGUUGUAGUAUUAAAUUAAAUCAAUUAAAAAAUAAGGUCGACAUUAUUUCUCUAUGUGACUUAAGAAAAUAAUAUAUCAACUUAUGUAAAUUGUGAAUAUGCUUGAAAUGUUAGGAGUAAUGUGAGAUGAAGACUUAUAAAAUAUGAGAGCAAAAUUUUCUCUUUUGUAGGUUAUAUAUCUAAACUAAAGUGAAUUACAUAAGAUUUAAUUAUAAUUGUAGAUGCAAAAUUUAUUAAAUGUGUUAUCUUAUUAGUGAUAAUUUCUCUUAUAAUAGUGGUUUUGAAAUUUUUCUGAACAAGAAUUUAUGAUGUGAAUUGUGAUAAAUCAUUAAUUUGAGACUUAAGAUUAUGACCGUGAGACAUUUAACACAUCAAAUUUACGCAUUAAUAAAAUACUUCAUCAUAUUGUUAAAUAUCUUGAAGUAUAAUGUUACGUGACACCGUAGUUUAUCAACGUUAAAUUAAAGUUUUUUUAUGUUACAUAAAUCAUUUUGUCCACGAAAAGCAAACUUCAUGUAAUAUUUUGCCUGAAUUUUUUAAAAUAUUUUAUUUUAUUUUAAAUAUAAUAUUAAUUAAAUUUGACCUAUGUUUUAUUUAAUAUAUUUUUUCAAAUUGAAUAAAGUAUGAGUUGAGUUGAUGGUGAAGUCCCUCCUAUUAGAUAAAAAUAGGCCAAAUUUAAUUAAUAUUUAAAUUAAUUGAAAUAUUAUUGUCACGAUAUAUUUUUGUUUUAAUCCUCUGAUUGUCAAGGACAACACGUUUUGGUCUCGAAGUUCAAUAGAAAGAUAACUUAAAUCUAAUUAAGAAUUAUUCCAAUUAAGAUUAGAACAUAAAUUCUAUAAAACGAUUUAUCGUUAACUAAAUAUUGUUAACAAUAAUAAAUCAAUAUGAAUUAAAUUGUCAUUUUUAAUUAUUGUUUAUAAAAACUGCUAUAAGAUGUAUUCCACAAUAAUAAAUACACACAACUAAUGAAAAAAUUUAAUUAUUAUACACGGACAGUGUAAAAUAAUUUACACCUAUUAAUGUGUUUUUCACCGUAAUAAAUAUAAAAUAAAAUUAAUGGUUUAGAAAUAAAAUAUAUAUUACUCAUCCUUUUUGUACAAUCUAACAUUCAUUUCCUUCUAAAGAAGAUACCCUGUCAACCUGAUUCACACUUGGUUUUGCAGAGAGUAUGAGUAAUAUCACUGAGAAAUUGGGAAUCAAGGUUGAGACAAACCCUUCUGAGGAAAAACUCACUCAACUUGGUGUUAAGCAAUGGUCCAAGUAAUUAAAUUCUCUCUUCCCUUUUUCAUCUUCCAUCGCAACAUUUUCUACAUUUUUUUUCCAUUAUUUUAGGGCAUGUAUUUUGUAUUUUCACAACAAUUGU
Molecule: long non-coding RNA, 2499 nt
Filed under: Cicer arietinum (chickpea)
Lineage: Eukaryota; Viridiplantae; Streptophyta; Magnoliopsida; Fabales; Fabaceae
Description: long non-coding RNA (CARI_LNC002597)
Source: RNAcentral